CACAUACCAUGUAUACCAUACGUAUGCUCCAUACUCUCCUUCAUGGUACAUGAGAAGAAAAAGGAAGUAGAAACAAGAAGAUGAAAUAGGAGGUACGUACAUCAUAAAUCGACCGUUGGACGAAAUUCGGACGGAUCCCGAAGAAUUGACCACCCUCAAAAUAUAUACAUGUAAAGUACUAGUGUACGUACUGCCGAGUGGUUUUACACCACCUUCCACUCUGGUAUUAAGAGUACGACGAUUGUCUCUCCGAUAUCGACAUCAAGGACUAAAGACCGGAAGCGAACAAUCGCACAAUUUCCCCAUUCCCCUAUACACGGCAGUCCUGAAAAGCAGUAUUAUUUAUUUCUAUGUUUUCUACUCGAGUGACAGCAGAUGGUGGGUUCUGGGGACAUUAUCCCAGUUACGUGGUGUGUGUUGUUAAAUCGUGAGUGAGAUACCGAAUCUUUGCUGUUUGCUACAGGCCGUAGACCUAGUACGUAGCUCGUUGCUACUACUCAUAAUUACUGUCCGCUGCUUCAUGUAUGCUGCAGUGCUGCGCGCCCUACUGCACGAAGAAGCGAUAAUGACCCAGCCUGCAUCUUUUUUGCCUCACUAAUAUUGGAUCUUCUGCAUGGUUUGUGGCGACUGAGGCCUUUUACACUAUCUCUGAGAUGAUUAUAUAGCCUAUGGUCUGUGGAAUUCACAUAAAUGGACAAUAAAUAAAUGGAUGCAGCUGGAUGCUAC
This 726-nucleotide small RNA is filed under the name Cryptococcus neoformans H99. Its description in RNAcentral is "Cryptococcus neoformans var. grubii H99 hypothetical RNA". The record is from RNAcentral. Lineage: Eukaryota; Fungi; Basidiomycota; Tremellomycetes; Tremellales; Cryptococcaceae.